GAUGAACGCUGGCGGCGUGCCUAAUACAUGCAAGUCGAGCGAACAGACGAGGAGCUUGCUCCUCUGACGUUAGCGGCGGACGGGUGAGUAACACGUGGAUAACCUACCUAUAAGACUGGGAUAACUUCGGGAAACCGGAGCUAAUACCGGAUAAUAUAUUGAACCGCAUGGUUCAAUAGUGAAAGACGGUUUUGCUGUCACUUAUAGAUGGAUCCGCGCCGCAUUAGCUAGUUGGUAAGGUAACGGCUUACCAAGGCAACGAUGCGUAGCCGACCUGAGAGGGUGAUCGGCCACACUGGAACUGAGACACGGUCCAGACGCCUACGGGAGGCAGCAGUAGGGAAUCUUCCGCAAUGGGCGAAAGCCUGACGGGGCAACGCCGCGUGAGUGAUGAAAGGCUUCGGAUCGUAAAACUCUGUUAUUAGGGAAGAACAAAUGUGUAAGUAACUAUGCACGUCUUGACGGUACCUAAUCAGAAAGCCACGGCUAACUACGUG
This 497-nucleotide ribosomal RNA is filed under the name uncultured bacterium. Its description in RNAcentral is "partial 16S ribosomal RNA". It matches the Rfam family "Bacterial small subunit ribosomal RNA", at positions 28 to 507 of the family's 1533-position model. The record is from RNAcentral.